AACGAACGCUGGCGGCAUGCCUAACACAUGCAAGUCGAACGAGACCUUCGGGUCUAGUGGCGCACGGGUGCGUAACGCGUGGGAACCUGCCCUUAGGUUCGGAAUAACUCCCCGAAAGGGGUGCUAAUACCGGAUAAUGUCUUCGGACCAAAGAUUUAUCGCCUUUGGAUGGGCCCGCGUUGGAUUAGCUAGUUGGUAGGGUAAAAGCCUACCAAGGCGACGAUCCAUAGCUGGUCUGAGAGGAUGAUCAGCCACACUGGGACUGAGACACGGCCCAGAAUCCUACGGGAGGCAGCAGUGGGGAAUAGUGGACAAUGGGCGAAAGCCUGAUCCAGCAAUGCCGCGUGAGUGAUGAAGGCCUUAGGGUUGUAAAGCUCUUUUACCCGGGAUGAUAAUGACAGUACCGGGAGAAUAAGCUCCGGCUAACUCCGUG
RNAcentral lists this ribosomal RNA (433 nucleotides) under uncultured bacterium. RNAcentral's name for it is "partial 16S ribosomal RNA". It matches the Rfam family "Bacterial small subunit ribosomal RNA", at positions 29 to 507 of the family's 1533-position model. The record is from RNAcentral.